Molecule: microRNA precursor, 54 nt
Organism: Oreochromis niloticus (Nile tilapia)
Lineage: Eukaryota; Metazoa; Chordata; Actinopteri; Cichliformes; Cichlidae
Source: Ensembl
AAUGAGCUCAUUUUGAGAACUUAUUGGGAUAAGUUCUCAAAAUGAGCUCAUUGA